CCUACGGGAGGCAGCAGUGAGGAAUAUUGGUCAAUGGACGGAAGUCUGAACCAGCCAAGUAGCGUGAAGGAUGACUGCCCUAUGGGUUGUAAACUUCUUUUAUAAAGGAAUAAAACGAGGCACGUGUGCCUUUUUGCAUGUACUUUAUGAAUAAGGAUCGGCUAACUCCGUGCCAGCAGCCGCGGUAAUACGGAGGAUCCGAGCGUUAUCCGGAUUGAUUGGGUUUAAAGGGAGCGUAGAUGGGUUGUUAAGUCAGUUGUGAAAGUUUGCGGCUCAACCGUAAAAUUGCAAUUGAUACUGGCAGUCUUGAGUACAGUUGAGGUAGGCGGAAUUCGUGGUGUAGCGGUGAAAUGCUUAGAUAUCACGAAGAACUCCGAUUGCGAAGGCAGCUUACUAAACUGCCACUGACAUUGAUGCUCGAAAGUGUGGGUAUCAAACAGGAUUAGAUACCCCUGUAGUC
RNAcentral lists this ribosomal RNA (460 nucleotides) under uncultured bacterium. RNAcentral describes it as "partial 16S ribosomal RNA". It matches the Rfam family "Bacterial small subunit ribosomal RNA", at positions 338 to 795 of the family's 1533-position model. The record is from RNAcentral.